Molecule: small RNA, 50 nt
Filed under: Arabidopsis thaliana (thale cress)
Lineage: Eukaryota; Viridiplantae; Streptophyta; Magnoliopsida; Brassicales; Brassicaceae
Description: ATSL160150
Source: RNAcentral
UGGUAGUGUGUGGAAUCUGUGCCUUCCUCAACAUCCUGUACUUGUCACUU